GCCGGGCGUGGUGGCGGGCGCCUGUAGUCCCAGCUACUCCGGAGGCUGAGGCAGGAGAAUGGCGUGAACCCAGGAGGCGGAGCUUGCAGUGAGCCGAGAUCCCGCCGCUGCACUCCAGCCUGGGUGACAGAGCGAGACUCCAUCUCAAAAAAAGAAAGGCUUUUUUUUUUUUUUUUUUUUUUUUUGAGACAGAGUCUCACUCUUGUUGCCCAGGCUGGAGUGCAGUGGCGCGAUCUCGGCUCACUGCAACCUCCGUCUCCCGGGUUCAAGUGAUUCUCCUGCCUCAG
RNAcentral lists this signal recognition particle RNA (287 nucleotides) under Pongo abelii (Sumatran orangutan). Its description in RNAcentral is "Metazoan signal recognition particle RNA (ENSPPYG00000037904.1)". It matches the Rfam family "Metazoan signal recognition particle RNA". From Rfam's summary of the family: The signal recognition particle (SRP) is a universally conserved ribonucleoprotein. The record is from Rfam by way of RNAcentral. Lineage: Eukaryota; Metazoa; Chordata; Mammalia; Primates; Hominidae.